GUAAUACGUCCAUGGUUGAACACCGCAGGUGAAGGAGAGAAAAAGUAAACAUAUUUGGCUGUAUUUUACCGCUUACAGACGGAAAGCGUUGUUUUAAAGAGAUAAUAAGACCGGAACAGCGCCUGGACGAACCGAGGUGACAUUUGCAGUCUCCAGUAAACCGGUCACAGAUGAGGUUGGUGGGACAGGAGCAGGUCUGAGAGCAGAACGGACCAAAACGACCUGGACUACAUGCUGAAAAACACAAGGUACCAGGUAGCUCAUGUCAGCCCUGUCCAGAGGGGGGAAAACUGCGGUCCACAGCAGCUCAGCCAACACGCUCCAGGCCAUUUUACACACACGGUGGCUGCUGCGAGCUCAUCGGGCCCACCAGCAUGUGUUGAAGAUGUAAAAUAUACUUUGGGAAGCCCUCAGAAGGAUCCUCCGGUUCCACACUUGCACCUCUGCAGACAGCCCUUCCCGAAGGUGCCUGCUGGACAGGACUCUUCGCAGUAACGUCC
Long non-coding RNA from Plectropomus leopardus (leopard coralgrouper), 500 nucleotides. RefSeq lists it as uncharacterized. NCBI's taxonomy places the organism in Eukaryota, Metazoa, Chordata, Actinopteri, Perciformes, Serranidae. The record is from RefSeq and is a predicted model, not a curated record.